Molecule: unclassified non-coding RNA, 332 nt
Filed under: soil metagenome
Description: partial contains 5.8S ribosomal RNA, internal transcribed spacer 2, and large subunit ribosomal RNA
Rfam family: 5.8S ribosomal RNA (bases 1-120)
Source: RNAcentral
GAUGAAGAACGUAGCGAAAUGCGAUACGUAAUGUGAAUUGCAGAUUUCAGUGAAUCAUCGAAUCUUUGAACGCACAUUGUGCCCGCUAGUAUUCUGGCGGGCAUGCCUGUUCGAGCGUCAUUUCAACCAUCAAGCCCUAGGCUUGCGUUGGAGCCCUGCGGCUGCCGCAGGCUCCCAAAUCCAGUGGCGGGCUCGUCGUCGUACCGAGUGCAGUAAACAUCCUCGCUCAGGGAACGUGACGGGUUCUUGCCGUGAAACCCCCCACAUAUCAAGGUUGACCUCGGAUCAGGUAGGAAUACCCGCUGAACUUAAGCAUAUCAAUAAGCGGAGGA